GUCCACGCUGUAAACGAUGCUUGCUGGUUGUGGCGUUCCAUGGUGAAUGCCGUAACGAAGCCAACGCGUUAAGCAAGCCGCCUGGGGAGUACGGCCGCAAGGUUAAAACUCAAAGGAAUUGACGGGGACCCCGCACAAGCGGUGGAGCAUGUGGUUUAAUUCGAAGCAACGCGAAGAACCUUACCUGGGUUUGACAUCUACGGAAGUCGGGGUAAUGCCCGAUGUGCCCUUCGGGAGCCGUAAGACAGGUGCUGCAUGGCUGUCGU
RNAcentral lists this ribosomal RNA (266 nucleotides) under uncultured bacterium. Its description in RNAcentral is "partial 16S ribosomal RNA". It matches the Rfam family "Bacterial small subunit ribosomal RNA", at positions 793 to 1055 of the family's 1533-position model. The record is from RNAcentral.